RNAcentral lists this ribosomal RNA (255 nucleotides) under uncultured bacterium. Its description in RNAcentral is "partial 16S ribosomal RNA". It matches the Rfam family "Bacterial small subunit ribosomal RNA", at positions 524 to 776 of the family's 1533-position model. The record is from RNAcentral.
UACGUAGGGGGCUAGCGUUGUCCGGAAUCAUUGGGCGUAAAGAGCGUGUAGGCGGCCCGGUAAGUCCGCUGUGAAAGUCGGGGGCUCAACCCUCGAAUGCCGGUGGAUACUGGUCGGGCUAGAGUGCGGAAGAGGCGAGUGGAAUUCCUGGUGUAGUGGUGAAAUGCGUAGAUAUCGGGAGGAACACCAGUGGCGAAGGCGGACUACCUGGCCUGUUCUUGACGCUGAGGCGCGAAAGCUAGGGGAGCAAACGGG